GAUGAACGCUGGCGGCGUGCCUAAUACAUGCAAGUCGAGCGAACAGACGAGGAGCUUGCUCCUCUGACGUUAGCGGCGGACGGGUGAGUAACACGUGGAUAACCUACCUAUAAGACUGGGAUAACUUCGGGAAACCGGAGCUAAUACCGGAUAAUAUAUUGAACCGCAUGGUUCAAUAGUGAAAGACGGUGUUGCUGUCACUUAUAGAUGGAUCCGCGCCGCAUUAGCUAGUUGGUAAGGUAACGGCUUACCAAGGCAACGAUGCGUAGCCGACCUGAGAGGGUGAUCGGCCACACUGGAACUGAGACACGGUCCAGACUCCUACGGGAGGCAGCAGUAGGGAAUCUUCCGCAAUGGGCGAAAGCUUGACGGAGCAACGCCGCGUGAGUGAUGAAGGUCUUCGGAUCGUAAAACUCUGUUAUUAGGGAAGAACAAAUGUGUAAGUAACUAUGCACGUCUUGACGGUACCUAAUCAGAAAGCCACGGCUAACUACGUG
This 497-nucleotide ribosomal RNA is filed under the name uncultured bacterium. Its description in RNAcentral is "partial 16S ribosomal RNA". It matches the Rfam family "Bacterial small subunit ribosomal RNA", at positions 28 to 507 of the family's 1533-position model. The record is from RNAcentral.